ACGCUGGCGGCGUGCCUAAUACAUGCAAGUAGAACGCUGAAGAGAGGAGCUUGCUCUUCUUGGAUGAGUUGCGAACGGGUGAGUAACGCGUAGGUAACCUGCCUUGUAGCGGGGGAUAACUAUUGGAAACGAUAGCUAAUACCGCAUAACAAUGAAUGACUCAUGUCAUUUAUUUGAAAGGGGCAAUUGCUCCACUACAAGAUGGACCUGCGUUGUAUUAGCUAGUAGGUGAGGUAACGGCUCACCUAGGCGACGAUACAUAGCCGACCUGAGAGGGUGAUCGGCCACACUGGGACUGAGACACGGCCCAGACUCCUACGGGAGGCAGCAGUAGGGAGUCUUCGGCAAUGGGGGCAACCCUGACCGAGCAACGCCGCGUGAGUGAAGAAGGUUUUCGGAUCGUAAAGCUCUGUUGUAAGUCAAGAACGAGUGUGAGAGUGGAAAGUUCACACUGUGACGGUAGCUUACCAGAAAGGGACGGCUAACUACGUGCCAGCAGCCGCGGUAAUACGUAGGUCCCGAGCGUUGUCCGGAUUUAUUGGGCGUAAAGCGAGCGCAGGCGGUUUGAUAAGUCUGAAGUUAAAGGCUGUGGCUCAACCAUAGUUCGCUUUGGAAACUGUCAAACUUGAGUGCAGAAGGGGAGAGUGGAAUUCCAUGUGUAGCGGUGAAAUGCGUAGAUAUAUGGAGGAACACCGGUGGCGAAAGCGGCUCUCUGGUCUGUAACUGACGCUGAGGCUCGAAAGCGUGGGGAGCGAACAGGAUUAGAUACCCUGGUAGUCCACGCCGUAAACGAUGAGUGCUAGGUGUUGGAUCCUUUCCGGGAUUCAGUGCCGCAGCUAACGCAUUAAGCACUCCGCCUGGGAGUA
RNAcentral lists this ribosomal RNA (866 nucleotides) under uncultured Streptococcus sp. RNAcentral's name for it is "bacterial SSU rRNA". It matches the Rfam family "Bacterial small subunit ribosomal RNA", at positions 33 to 882 of the family's 1533-position model. Lineage: Bacteria; Bacillati; Bacillota; Bacilli; Lactobacillales; Streptococcaceae. The record is from RNAcentral.